Suncus etruscus (white-toothed pygmy shrew) is the source of this 109-nucleotide small nuclear RNA. Lineage: Eukaryota; Metazoa; Chordata; Mammalia; Eulipotyphla; Soricidae. The record is from RefSeq and is a predicted model, not a curated record.
UGAGUUACCCUCAUAGUACUUGGCAGCAUAUAUUGGAAAGAAUACAGAGAAAAUUAGCCUGACCUCUGCACAAGAAAGACAUAAAAUUUAUGAGGUAUUUCAUAUUUAA